Austrofundulus limnaeus is the source of this 210-nucleotide long non-coding RNA. RefSeq lists it as uncharacterized. The record is from RefSeq and is a predicted model, not a curated record. Lineage: Eukaryota; Metazoa; Chordata; Actinopteri; Cyprinodontiformes; Rivulidae. The transcript is spliced from 3 exons.
CCUGGCCAUUUCUGUGACUGUAAAUAUCGCUUUCAUCUGGUAUCGAAUAAGAAAAUCAUCAAGUAAGCAGCUUAGAGAAACAAACAAUGAAAUGAACCAACUGGACCAUAAUAAUAGUGGAGUCGGACUGGAUCUGAAUUAUGCUGCAUUACGUUUCUCUGGAGGGGAAGCACCAAGAGGCAAGACGAAGAGAGAUUUGAGGACUGAAUG